Molecule: ribosomal RNA, 2187 nt
Filed under: Triticum aestivum (bread wheat)
Lineage: Eukaryota; Viridiplantae; Streptophyta; Magnoliopsida; Poales; Poaceae
Description: partial small subunit ribosomal RNA
Source: RNAcentral
CGCGACUCCGCCAUUACUCCGCGGCAUCACGCAGGCAGGCAGGCAGGCUAGCCGUGCUCCCUCCCGUCUCUUCUCUCCUCUCCCCCAAAGAGGUCAAAGACACAGGGAGAGGACUCCUCCGCAUCUGCAUCCGUCCUCCUCCGCGCGCACGAAUUCGAGAGGGAGAGGAGCGGUAAUGGGGAGGGCUCCGUGCUGCGAGAAGAUGGGCCUCAAGAGGGGCCCCUGGACGCCGGAGGAGGACAAGAUCCUGGUCGCCCACAUCCACAGCCACGGCCACGGCAACUGGCGCGCGCUGCCCAAGCAAGCCGGCCUGCUGCGGUGCGGCAAGAGCUGCCGGCUCCGGUGGAUCAACUACCUGCGGCCGGACAUCAAGCGCGGCAACUUCACCGACGAGGAGGAGCAGUCAAUCAUCCAGCUGCACCAGCUGCUCGGCAACAGGUGCCUAUUACUCCUUGUCGCCUUCUUCCUCCUCCUCCUCAAUCACAUCCUUACUGUUCCCCUCCUGCUAAAACGGGGGCAAUCAUUGCCGCUUGCUUCAAUCGCAAAACAGAGGUGAGGUUUAUUAUUCCCCUUUUUUUCUUUUUUUUCUUUGUGGGGGCAAAAAAAAUACAAUAUGUUAUCAUCCAUCGCGGGCCCCGCCCGAAAUAAAGAAAAAUCGCAAGUGCGGAUUUGUUAAUGGCUAAUUGCAUCACUGAUGAUGCGCGAGAUCUUGAAAGAUUCCAUCUUGUUUGGCCGUUCCGGCCACGGGCGAGCUGCGCCCUCUUGAUUUCAGUGCCGCGAACACUUUGUGCCGCCACCGCCGCUCCUACUUGGCAUUAAACUACGGGCGGCGUCGCGGUUCCGUCGGGGAAUCAAAUCACGUCGUGAUCAUCAUCAGAUUAAAACAAACAAACAAACACGAAUUCAUCUUUUUCCUGCCAUCUGUCUGGACUGUGCGCUGAUUGGAUUCGAUCCGUGUGUUGUUUGCUUGCGCGCAGAUGGUCCGCGAUUGCCGCCCGGCUGCCGGGGAGGACGGACAACGAGAUCAAGAACGUGUGGCACACCCACCUCAAGAAGCGGCUCGACCCCAGCGCGCAGGAGCAGCACGAGGAGGCCAAGAAGCGCAAGAAGCCGGCGGCGGCGGCGCGGAAGCGCGACGGCAAGGUCAAGAUGAGGAAGCUCGACGCGCUGACCGCCAAGGCGGCGCCCGUGCUGUCCUCGCCCGAGCGCUCCGUCUCGUCCACGGUCACCGAGUCGACGUCCACGGCCUCGGCGGCGGCGGAGCAGCACGGCAACUCGGGCAGCUCCGCGUCCGCCUCCGCGUCCGUCAAGGAGGAGUGCUUCACCUCGUCCGAGGAGUCGGAGGAGUUCCAGAUCGACGAGAGCUUCUGGUCGGAGACGCUGUCCAUGCCGCUGGACGACAUCAACGACGUCUGCAUGGAGCCCCACGACGCGUUCGGCAAGCCCACGGGCGCCGCCGACGGCGACAUGGACUACUGGCUCAAAGUGUUCAUGGAGGGCGGCGGCGACGACGACAACAACAACGGCGCGCUAGACUUACCGCAGAUUUAGGGAGGGAGAGAGCUCUAGUUUCGUCGCUGCUCCCGAUUGAUCGUUCUUUUUUCUCUCUCUCUACCCGCGCCAUCUUGCUGCACCGGAGGGAUUGCUAACAGAGAAGAGUGCCCUGCCCCGCGGAGGAAAAUUAGUAGCCAGCAAGAACGCGGAUCAUGAAGGCGCCCGGUCGGUAGAUUUCUUUGAUCCAUCUUGUUUGUUCACCUUGCUGUAUAGAAAGAUGAGAGAUGAGCGAUCGGAACCGAUGCAUUCUGAGUUAGUAGUGAUUAUCUGUUCUUCUGCACGGGGUGCAAAUAUCAGUUUCUGUACCACCAUGGAGAUUACUACUAUCUGAAAUGGACUCUGCUUUUCUCAUUUGGCCGAUCAAAACUGAUCACUCCUCACUGCAUGUGCUCGGUUACCGGAUCGCAUCAUGUGAUCUUUUGGAGAAGCGUGAGGAUUAAACCGGUGUAUUACUAGUACGGGCUUUUGUCUUGUUAUCUGUUCUUUUCCGGUGUGUGCACGCUUGUCGCAGUUGCCAACCGAGCCUGAAAAACAUGCGUUGGGACUGGAAAAACCGGAGGAAAGGUCCCUUUUCCCCUCCGAGAGAGUUAAAUAAUGACACGGACAGAUCUGGCCGUCUUGUCAUGGAUCCUG